RNAcentral lists this ribosomal RNA (454 nucleotides) under uncultured bacterium. Its description in RNAcentral is "bacterial SSU rRNA". It matches the Rfam family "Bacterial small subunit ribosomal RNA", at positions 340 to 786 of the family's 1533-position model. The record is from RNAcentral.
UACGGGAGGCAGCAGUGGGGAAUAUUGCACAAUGGGCGAAAGCCUGAUGCAGCUAUGCCGCGUGUAUGAAGAAGGCCUUAGGGUUGUAAAGUACUUUCAUCGGGGAGGAAAAACAAAACUAAUAAUUUUAUUUCUUGACGUUACCCGAAAAAGAAGCACCGGCUAACUCCGUGCCAGCAGCCGCGGUAAUACGGAGGGUGCUAGCGUUAAUCAGAAUUACUGGGCGUAAAGAGCACGUAGGUGGUUUUUUUAAAGUCAGAUGUGAAAUCCCUGGGCUUAACCUGGAACUGCAUUUUGAAACUGAAAUACUAGAGUAUCGUAGAGGGAGGUAGAAUUCUAGGUGUAGCGGUGAAAUGCGUAGAUAUCUGGAGGAAUACCUGUGGCGAAAGCGGCCUCUAAACGAAUACUGACACUGAGGUGCGAAAGCGUGGGGAGCAAACAGGGAUUAGAUACC